UACGUAGGGUGCGAGCGUUAAUCGGAAUUACUGGGCGUAAAGCGUGCGCAGGCGGCGCGUUAAGACAGGUGUGAAAGCCCCGGGCUUAACUUGGGAAUUGCGCUUGUGACUGGCGUGCUGGAGUGUGGCAGAGGGAGGUGGAAUUCCACGUGUAGCAGUGAAAUGCGUAGAGAUGUGGAGGAACACCGAUGGCGAAGGCAGCCUCCUGGGCCAGCACUGACGCUCAUGCACGAAAGCGUGGGGAGCAAACAGG
RNAcentral lists this ribosomal RNA (253 nucleotides) under uncultured bacterium. Its description in RNAcentral is "partial 16S ribosomal RNA". It matches the Rfam family "Bacterial small subunit ribosomal RNA", at positions 524 to 776 of the family's 1533-position model. The record is from RNAcentral.